This 492-nucleotide ribosomal RNA is filed under the name uncultured bacterium. RNAcentral's name for it is "partial 16S ribosomal RNA". It matches the Rfam family "Bacterial small subunit ribosomal RNA", at positions 29 to 507 of the family's 1533-position model. The record is from RNAcentral.
AGUGAACGCUGGCGGUAUGCCUAAUACAUGCAAGUCGAACGGCAGCACAGUAAGCUCUCGCCCUUACGGGUGGCGGCUGGCGGACGGGUAACGCGUACAUCGCAUUCUUCUUUUUCUUGGGGAACAACGUGGGAAAACUUACGAUAAUACCGCAUAUGACCUACCGGUGAAUGCAAGGGAUCUUCGCACCUUGCGCGAUUGAUUUAGCCGAUGUCGGAUUAGCUAGUUGGCGGGGUAAAGGCCCACCAAGGCGACGAUACGUAGCUGGUCUGAGAGGAUGAUCAGCCACACUGGAACUGAGACACGGUCCAGACUCCUACGGGAGGCAGCAGUGGGGAAUAUUGGACAAUGGGCGCAAGCCUGAUCCAGCCAUACCGCGUGAGUGAAGAAGGCCUUCGGGUUGUAAAGCCCUUUUGUUGGGAAAGAAAAGCAGCAGGUUAAUACCCCGCUGUUCUGACGGUACCUAAAGAAUAAGCACCGGCUAACUUCGUG